GCUUCGGUGGCAUGGUGGUUAGAGUGUCCACCUCAGAUGCGAGUGUCCGUGGGUUCAAUCCACGACCGAGGCA
Molecule: non-coding RNA, 73 nt
Organism: Potamilus streckersoni
Lineage: Eukaryota; Metazoa; Mollusca; Bivalvia; Unionida; Unionidae
Source: the annotation of a GenBank genome assembly